This 771-nucleotide ribosomal RNA is filed under the name uncultured Streptomyces sp. RNAcentral's name for it is "bacterial SSU rRNA". It matches the Rfam family "Bacterial small subunit ribosomal RNA", at positions 43 to 829 of the family's 1533-position model. Lineage: Bacteria; Bacillati; Actinomycetota; Actinomycetes; Kitasatosporales; Streptomycetaceae. The record is from RNAcentral.
GGCGUCUUACACAUGCAAGUCGUACCAUGGUAACACGUAGGUGGGGAUUAGUGGCGAACGGGUGAGUAACACGUGGGCAAUCUGCCCUGCACUCUGGGACAAGCCCUGGAAACGGGGUCUAAUACCGGAUACUGACCACUGGGGGCAUCUUUGAUGGUCGAAAGCUCCGGCGGUGCAGGAUGAGCCCGCGGCCUAUCAGCUUGUUGGUGAGGUAGUGGCUCACCAAGGCGACGACGGGUAGCCGGCCUGAGAGGGCGACCGGCCACACUGGGACUGAGACACGGCCCAGACUCCUACGGGAGGCAGCAGUGGGGAAUAUUGCACAAUGGGCGAAAGCCUGAUGCAGCGACGCCGCGUGAGGGAUGACGGCCUUCGGGUUGUAAACCUCUUUCAGCAGGGAAGAAGCGAAAGUGACGGUACCUGCAGAAGAAGCGCCGGCUAACUACGUGCCAGCAGCCGCGGUAAUACGUAGGGCGCGAGCGUUGUCCGGAAUUAUUGGGCGUAAAGAGCUCGUAGGCGGCUUGUCACGUCGGUUGUGAAAGCCCGGGGCUUAACCCCGGGUCUGCAGUCGAUACGGGCAGGCUAGAGUUCGGUAGGGGAGAUCGGAAUUCCUGGUGUAGCGGUGAAAUGCGCAGAUAUCAGGAGGAACACCGGUGGCGAAGGCGGAUCUCUGGGCCGAUACUGACGCUGAGGAGCGAAAGCGUGGGGAGCGAACAGGAUUAGAUACCCUGGUAGUCCACGCCGUAAACGGUGGGCACUAUGUGUGGGCAA